UACUCGUUAGUGUACAGGGCACAUAAAGUUUUGAUCUUUAAGGAGAGUGGUGUAAAUCCAUCACGUGUAA
RNAcentral lists this transfer RNA (70 nucleotides) under Monomia gladiator. Its description in RNAcentral is "tRNA-Gln". The record is from RNAcentral. Lineage: Eukaryota; Metazoa; Arthropoda; Malacostraca; Decapoda; Portunidae.